This 432-nucleotide small RNA is filed under the name Histoplasma capsulatum var. duboisii H88. RNAcentral's name for it is "Histoplasma capsulatum H88 hypothetical RNA". Lineage: Eukaryota; Fungi; Ascomycota; Eurotiomycetes; Onygenales; Ajellomycetaceae. The record is from RNAcentral.
UUGACACUUCUGCUGUGCAAUCUUUUUAUAAUCUCUUUUUAUAUUUACUAAGUUAUUUUAUCUUUAUUUUCAGCUGUUUAUCAUAUCAAUCUACAGUUGCUGUUUGCAUCUUACAUCUUCUGAAUCAUUUUAUGAUGAUUCUCAGCAGUUUUAACAAUAUCAAGUCUACUGUUCAAGUUCCAAUCAUGUGCUGUUGAGUGAUAUUACAGCCUCACAGCUUAAUCAACAUUCACAAUAUAAUCAAUCAAUAGUCAAGAAUACUACAUCAAUAACUCUUUGCUAUUAUCUGCAGAGUUGACUGAGUUUAUAAACUCUGCAGCAUUCACUGAGCUUUCUGAGUGCUACUGAGUCUCUAAUCUAGCAAGCUUCUCACUGAUUAUAAGCUAAGAUCAGGGCUUAUAUAGUGUUGCUGAGCUUGUUCACUAAGUCAGA